Molecule: long non-coding RNA, 573 nt
Filed under: Nicotiana benthamiana
Lineage: Eukaryota; Viridiplantae; Streptophyta; Magnoliopsida; Solanales; Solanaceae
Description: long non-coding RNA (NBEN_LNC034001)
Source: RNAcentral
UCAAACUUCAACGAAGUCCACGGAAACCUAACUAAAAAGUCCAUAGUGAUACCCUCCCAUUUCCACUUAGGUAUAAUCAUAUGCCGAAGUAAUCUACCUAGCCCCUGGUGCUCAUACUUAACCUGCCGGCAUAUUAAGAACCUAGCCACACACUCAACUAUUUAUUUCUUCAUCCGCCACCACCAAUAAUGCUUCCUCUGGUCACGAUACAUUGUAGUAGCACCUGGAUGAAUAGAAUACCGAGAACUUUGUGCCUCCUCUAGAAUCUUUUCCCUCAAGCCAUCGACAUUAGGUACACAAAGAUGACCCUGGAGUCGCAGGACACCAUCCUCACCAAUGGAAACCUCCUUUGUACUACCCUGCAGUACCGCUUUUCUAUGAACUACCAAGUGGGGAUCAUCAACCUACUGAGCCUUAAUCUUCCCCAAUAGUGAAUACUGGGCAACAAAACAUGCAACAACUUGGUUGGGCUCUGAAGUAUCCAACCUCACAAGUCUGUUAGCCGAGGACUGAAUGUCACAAGCUAGUGUCCUCUCCACUACUGAAAUGAAUUCCGAGCCACCUAUGCUCAUG